Non-coding RNA from Physcomitrium patens, 2766 nucleotides. The record is from RefSeq and is a predicted model, not a curated record. NCBI's taxonomy places the organism in Eukaryota, Viridiplantae, Streptophyta, Bryopsida, Funariales, Funariaceae.
AAGGGCAUCAUUUUCCGACAGGAGGUUUUUCUUAAUGAGAAACAGAAGAGGUGUAGUAGCAAGUAGAGGAUUGCGGAGUCCCCCUGAAAUAUAUUGGCUUUCUAGUUGUCGCAAGAUUAGUGUCGACGGUGGUUUACAAGAUUGAGCAGUCAGUAGGCGACGACCGAGCAGUGGGUCAGGAAUCUUUAGAGAUCUAGUCAGGAGCAGCAGCGGUGGUUCUGGUGUUGUUCGGAAGCCCCGACACACAUGAUUCUAGUUGCACUACGGGUGUAGUCGUUGGAUCAGCACUGAAUCCACCCAUUGCACAAGUUGAAUGUUGUGAUAUGAGUACAGUGAAUUGCUGCGUGAGCUUGCUGCUUUCUGAGCCCUUGAUGUGAAUGCCGUUAGUUGUUCCCCAGAGCCUCGGCAGAAUUCAGUUCAACAGGUUUGAUGGUUUGUGAUACAGAGGUCAAGGGGGGUUGCAUCUGAUUCGUGCACUUACAGCACCUCGUUGACGAACUUCUGAGUUUCCUCCAAUACUGAGGUAAGCACUGCAUUGCCGUACCCAGAUAGCAGGUUAUCCAAUUUUUCUAGAAUAUGGCUCGCCCAUUAAAAUUCUCAUUUCCUUCAUUUCUUUUUUUCUUUUUCUUUUUUUGUGACAGUAGGAAAUGAUAACGUGAACUUUGGAAAUUAAUGGGGGUGGGUGCAUCCAAGCUUGUCUCGUACACUGAUUGCUCACGUAUGAAAUAGCAUUUUUUUGGAUGGUAUAAAGAUUUUGGGGUGAAGGUGUUAGUGGAGUAUGGUGGCUACAGUGACUCACAUGAAGAACGUGCUAGAAGAUGUUCAACAUUCCAAAUGGUUAUUUCCAGGACAAAAGACGACUGAGUACUUCUCAGCUACUGAUUCUUGAGGGAAAGAGAACCCCCAGACGGAGUACUUAGAGCUAUCUGAUGGUUUAUCUAGUGAAGAGAUCAUAUCCUCUCAGCACUUCGAGCCUAUUGAAGUACAAGUCGAGCCUAGUACAAAUGUGAUUGAGAAUGCCAAGCCUGUCUAGUAGUAUGAAAGAGCAAUUUGAGCUUGCGCAAGGGGCAAGAGAUAGCUUGCCUGAAGCUGAGCUUGAUUGCCAUCGUCGAGUAAUAAACUUAUGCAAUGCUCAAACUGUUGAUCAGUCAUCAAAUAUUGCAGAGUGUGGUGAACUUUGGCGGGAAAAAUUUAUCCGGUUGUCGAGUGAAUAUUUCCCCGAUGUGGGGGGAAUACAAUUGAAAUUCUUGAGUGAGCUUUGCAUUGCUGCUUGUAAUUCCGAGAAGUUUUUUCUUAGCGUUGCAAGGAAUCAAUGGAUACGGACAAUUAUCAAAUCUGAGAAGGCUCCUCAAGAACUAUUUUCUCCAACAUCGACAGAGAAGGAAUGUCGUAUCCUCAGAUCCAAUAUCACCAUCCAUAGCAACAUUCUACCCUGUGAUCCAUUUUGGAGAAAGAUGCAAGAAACAAGAGAUGAUUCAAGCAACUGUGUGCAUUUUCCGUGUGUUAUUUUCAUGGAGGCAAUACAAGAAAAGAAAACAUUGACGCAAAAGUUAGUGGAAUGGCGGAUGAAGAAAGUAGCAUGUGAAUUCGGUCACCAUGGAUUCGGAGGAGCUGUGGAUGGAAACUCUACAGAAGAUCCUCCAAGGUUGUUUUGAAAUAUCCAAUCUGAUGAUGUAAUUAAAGAGAAACUGGUUGCUACGGAGAAUAUAUGGAGAGUGACAUGGAAAGGUGGUCGAUUUGUGGGAAAAGAUCGCAGAAGGUCUUGUUCCCAGAGGAGCGAUAACACUGAUCCUAGAGUUGAACCCUUGAACGAUGCGGACGAUGCGGACGAUGCGGAGCUCAGUAUUGUGGAACAUCUAUCUCAUCCUCACAUUGUUUAUAGCUUUGGAGUCUCUCAUUCUACAGACAAGCGUUCGAUAUUCAUGGAGGAAAUGGAUUCUGAUCUUAAUCAAUUAAUAGUCGAAAAAGUUCGUGAUAAUGGCAACGCGCCACCAUUUUCUCACCAUGACUCUGUUGAUAUACUACUGCAGUUGGCAAAAGCUAUGGCAUAUACGCAUGGAAAGGACGUGGUACAUGGGGGUCUGAAGCCUGAGAAUAUAUAUGUUAGCAAAAUAUUGAUAUCAUAGAAUGUAACACGUUACUUGGUUAAGGUUGCUGAUUUUGGUAGUGCUCAGUUUGUGAGUACGAAUCAGGAAUCCACACCUAAUUUUUAACCGGGAAGAUAUACUCCGCACUAUGCAGCACCAGAAACUUUGAAGUGGCACAAGAACAAGGAAGAGAUCAUCUAUUAUCCGAAAGCUCUUGAUGUCUACAGCUUUGGCAUUGCAGCAUUUGAGGUUCUUACAGGAGAGAAACCGUACGACCGCCCAAGAAUACGAGACAAAGUAAUUUAUGAUAAUUUGAGACCACACCUCCGUGAAAAUUGCCGAAAAAUGUCAAGGAACUUUCUAAAUGAUGAGAGAUUGAUAUCACUGGUUGAGAGUUGUUGGCAGGGUGAUCCCUUCAAAAGACCUUCUUUUGACAAAAUUGUCAAAGACUUGAUCGAUAUCCACACAGCCCUGAUUCUGAAGCCAACUCGGCGGAACGGCUACCUUCAACGACUAGGAAAAUACGUUAACUCCUCCAAUUUGUUUGGCGGAAAGAGAGACUGCUCUAGUUGAUUUGCUUAUUCUUUUGUGUUUGUACUUGUAUUUGCUUACUUUCUUCGCUUUUUAAUGUAUAUGUUCCAAUACCUUUCACAAUACAGCAGUUGUGCGUUUUGCCUAA